Long non-coding RNA from Bufo bufo (common toad), 4220 nucleotides. RefSeq lists it as uncharacterized. Lineage: Eukaryota; Metazoa; Chordata; Amphibia; Anura; Bufonidae. The transcript has 2 exons. The record is from RefSeq and is a predicted model, not a curated record.
ACAAGUCUUCAUAUUUAUUUGGAAAUUCACAGUUUCUAAAUUGCACUAAGGCUCUGGAGUUACACUUUUGUUCACCAUAUAUUUGUAAGCAAAAAAAAUAAUUUAAUUUUAUUCCUUUUUCCUGCUUUUUUUAUCUGAUCUUUAAAAAAGAAACGUAAGGUUCGGGUGCUCAAAUUGUCUGCAUAUUUUCUACACAACCUCACUAAGGGAACAAUUGCAUUUCGUGUUAAGUUCAAAAAACAAUAUUAGCAAAUACAAGGAGUGAGUGGAAUACGGUGCUGUACAUGGCGCCCAUACAACAUGGAGCAAGACGACUCCUGGGUUCCUGGGGGAAAAUGAUAGGUAAUGCACGAUAAGCCUAUUCCAUCUGAUGGUCGAGGUUGUGUCAUACCUGCACAAGGACAUGUAUUGGAGUUAUCCAUGCAGUUCCAAGUAAAUGGACCCUUUAAAAGUCUUUUUAAUGUAUAUAUACACACACACACACACACACUAAAACCCUGCCUGUACCUAUACAUACAAGUUCAUACUAAAACAUACUAUGAAUAUAUCUGGCGGGAAACCUUCUUUGAUCUCUGUAAGGCUUUAUGCACACAAUCAUAUUUUACAUCUGUGUGCUACCCGCAUAUGAGCACGCUGACCCAUUCGUCUCUACGCAGCCAUGUACACAUCCGUGCUUUGUGCAGAUCCGUGUGGUUGUUCCAAAAAAGACAGAACAUGUCCCUUCUCAUAACCCUUUCUAUUGAUGGGAAUGGGAACUAUAUGGAAUGCACACAGAAGGUAUUUUGUGUAUCUGUAGUUUGCGGGCGGAAAUACGGUCAUGACUGUGUGCAUGAAGCCUAACGUGUUCCCCGUUAAAAUACAGCCAAGUUGGAGUUACACAUGCUAAAAUCUCAUGAAAGCGAUUUACCAGUAUUUCCCCAUUAUAAGCUGAAUAAAUGCCAUGGCCGACAGCAAGAAUCUGCAGGAUAUCAAACAGUUACCGACUAUUAUUAUGUCUUGUUACAGCCUGCGCUCUACAGGCAAACUAUUCUCCAUCUUCAACCAGUAUAUAGCACUGGUCUCCAACCUGUGGUUCUCCAGUUGUUACAAAACCAUAACCAACGUAAUGAGAAGGGGAAUACUGUAUCAACUGCAAAGGUGGAGCUACGUUCACAUCUCCAUUCAUUUGACUCAGCAGAGCAGGAUACUAACGUUCACCACCGGACCCCAUAGACCAGGGUUUCUGAACUGCGGUCCUCGGAACCCACCUACUGGUCAGGAUUUGAGAAUUUCCCGCAGAAUGAAUCUCUGUGGCAAGUCCUGAUGCAUCGACACUAAUUAUAUCACCUGCUCAAUACUAAGGAAAUCCAGAAAACAUGACUGGUAGGUGGAGUUGAGAAACCCUGCCAUAGACUAUAUAGGUGGGGCUGGCUGGGAUCAAGCCACUCUCCAGUGAAAUGUCUGCUUUCGGCUGGAUAAAAACAGUUGCAUGCAAUGGUUUUUCUGAGCGAAACCCAGCACUCAUGCCGGAACACAGCUGGACCCCACCAGGCUGUUUUCCGGAACAGCCUCCUGGAUCUAGCUGAAUGGAGAUGUGAACAAAGCCUUAGAGACAACUGGUAUAUGGAGUAUCGGAAGGCUCUAUGGGCAAUUUGGGAACAUUUGGUUUCCCAAGAGCUUUCCAGAUCCAACUUGAAUACCAAGUGAAGGAAAACGUAAUUUUGUGUAGACAUAUUAAUAUCGCAGCUCCACAGUUAGCAAAAUCCAUACAUUCUCAACAGCCUAAAUAAACAGAUAAAUAAGCCACAUAUAGGCCAUAGACAUUUACAAGUGCCCCUUCCCCACAGUGUAAAGACCGCAUUAGAAAGCAGAAAUAAUAUCACUAGUAAUAAGACAUAUAUAACUCAUUAAACAGGAGCUAAGGCCAGCAGACAGUGGAAGCCAUGAUAGUACCUGAACAGUAAUGACCAGUGGGUCCUAAAACAAUGCAAAUGACUAUUUCUGGCCACAUACUCAGGCUGCAGAUGUGGAUGAAUCUUAAGGAGCAUCACUGUUCUAAUAAGGCAAAAAUUAUUGCUCUGUUCCUCUUUAUACUUUCAGAAAUUAACACUGACAAAUGUUUUUUUCCAAAAUCUAAAGAUACAUUAGGUUCCAGCCACAAAUAUCUUUAGAGAACGUUUUUUUUUUUUUCACUUCUUAAAAAGCAAAGCAUCUGGAUAUGCAUAGUAGAAUAUGGAAAUGUACUCCCUAUGAACACAUUUAUGGAUAGAGGCUACAAACCAACUGUGGGAUAGACUAGUGUGUAACCAUGGCUAUUCUGGAGUCUGGAAUCAUAGAGACACCUCAUUCUGCAUAGGUGGUGGUGGUGUCCUUGAGGAACAACUCUUAAAUGUAUUUUACCAGCUAAUAUCAUUCAGCCUAACCUGCUUAAUCUUUCCUCAAAUUAUGGGUCUUAAAAUGACUGGCAGUACUACAAGGAUUAAAGUGCUUUGACGUGCUCCUAAAAACUUAAGGCCUUGGACAACUGUAGUCAUAUCAUGAGCACUUUAAUGUACCACACUAAAAGGUUACGGGAAGAGAUGCAAGUCCAGAAAUGUGAAGUGAAACUACAGAUACAUUUUUCACUUUACAACUAGGUCAUGGGUGUUCCGGUUUCAAGAUGGGUAACUACACCAUAAAUCUAGCUCUUCAGUCACUCUAUGAAGACUUUUAGGAAACUAUAGCAUUCCAUGAGUCACUCAGCAUCAUGGUACUUGACGUAGAGCUCAGCAGUAACAGGAUUAUACAAUUAUCAGAACACUUUGGCAUGAAGGCCUAAUGACUUCCAUCAACCUUAUGCCACAGAAAUCUUCCUUUGUACAAAUGUAAAUGUAUGCACUUGUGGUGUUUUCAGAUCUUGCCAGUGCCCUACUUCAUACGCUGUCAUCUGUAGACUACAAUUAAUCUCCAAAAACAGGAUGAUGCAUAUGGGCUGUUUCAUGUUCUGCAUUAUUUCAAUAAAGUUCUUAGAGGUUCUAAUAGGAGGCCAUACAUGGGUUCAAAGGUUUUAACACGAGCCACACAUGGUUUCAGAGGUUCUAACAAGAGGCCACACAUGGAUUCAGAGGUUCUAACAGGUGGCCAUACAUGGGUUCGGAGGCAAUACAUUAGUUCGCUAACUUGACAAAUCUCUCUAUUGCCUCAACUGGAGGCUUAUUUCCCAUUUUAUUUUUCUCCACCUACCAGGAAAGUUCUUUUUUGUGUGAAUAGAAAAAUGUAUUGUUUCUUUGACAGACUUUGAGACCCUACAACCAUCUCUGGAUAUUAUACAAUAAAUGUAGAGGAGUCCAACAACGUGCAAGUUAUCAGUGGAAGGCGUACAGCGAAAGGACUAAGGGGCUCAUUUACUAACAGAUAUAGGCCACUUUUUGGCGAAUAUCUGUCAGAUUGCAGCGCCCGCUUAGGCCAGGUCUAAUAAAGGGGGGAGCGGUGUGGGCGGGGACCUGUCAGAUCCUGUGGAGUAUCUCCUGAGAACAAAAGAAGCAUACUGAAAUCCAACGCCCAAAUCAGCUCAUCCCUGACGGGGGGGAGGAAUCUCCAUAUAUUUAGAUGGUCGGUCACUCCUAAAAUAUUUGAUUUCAGCUGACAAGCUAAUGUGCAAGGCCAGCUUUAGACUAAGUACCUCAGAAAAAAAAAAAAUUAAUUCUAAAUAACAAAAAACAAACUUAUAAUAAAUAAUCUUUGCGAACAUGUAAAAACCCAUCCAUUUAAACACCCAUACAAAAAAACACAAUCUUGCUACAAAAACAUGGCGUAAAAUCCAACUAUGGGCAGAGUUCAAAAUGGAAUAAAAAAAAACAAAAAAAAAAAACAUCCUGUGUGUAGAUAUUGCUGUUACAACACCCCUGGCUGUUCUUCAGGACCUCCACCUAAUAUGGACAGCUUUGUCGAGCUGCUCCUGGUGCACAGAUUCUUCUUGUGGAAAUCCGGCACAAGAGUGGGAACCACUGGUGUGCAAGAGGAUUUGGCGGUGGGACUGAGCUGCUGAGCAUGUGUGACCACUACAAAGUCAGGUGGAUGUUCUUAAAAGGAAUUAAAUAAAGACCAGGGGCAUUUUAAUUAUUGCUUACAACUGAAAUAUCGAUCUGUUAUGAGCGAUCUAAAAAAAAAAAAAAAAAAAGGGAUAUUUACAUUAACUGGAUAACCCGAUUGAUUUUUGUCUACCAAAAUGAUAAAUUGAUUAAAAAAAAAAAAAAAAAAAG